GAUGAACGCUGGCGGCGUGCCUAAUACAUGCAAGUCGAGCGAACGGACGAGAAGCUUGCUUCUCUGAUGUUAGCGGCGGACGGGUGAGUAACACGUGGAUAACCUACCUAUAAGACUGGGAUAACUUCGGGAAACCGGAGCUAAUACCGGAUGAUAUUUUGAACCGCAUGGUUCAGAAGUGAAAGACGGUCUUGCUGUCACUUAUAGAUGGAUCCGCGCUGCAUUAGCUAGUUGGUAAGGUAACGGCUUACCAAGGCAACGAUGCAUAGCCGACCUGAGAGGGUGAUCGGCCACACUGGAACUGAGACACGGUCCAGACUCCUACGGGAGGCAGCAGUAGGGAAUCUUCCGCAAUGGGCGAAAGCCUGACGGAGCAACGCCGCGUGAGUGAUGAAGGUCUUCGGAUCGUAAAACUCUGUUAUUAGGGAAGAACAUAUGUGUAAGUAACUGUGCACAUCUUGACGGUACCUAAUCAGAAAGCCACGGCUAACUACGUGCCAGCAGCCGCGGUAAUACGUAGGUGGCAAGCGUUAUCCGGAAUUAUUGGGCGUAAAGCGCGCGUAGGCGGUUUUUUAAGUCUGAUGUGAAAGCCCACGGCUCAACCGUGGAGGGUCAUUGGAAACUGGAAAACUUGAGUGCAGAAGAGGAAAGUGGAAUUCCAUGUGUAGCGGUGAAAUGCGCAGAGAUAUGGAGGAACACCAGUGGCGAAGGCGACUUUCUGGUCUGUAACUGACGCUGAUGUGCGAAAGCGUGGGGAUCAAACAGGAUUAGAUACCCUGGUAGUCCACGCCGUAAACGAUGAGUGCUAAGUGUUAGGGGGUUUCCGCCCCUUAGUGCUGCAGCUAACGCAUUAAGCACUCCGCCUGAGGAGUACGACCGCAAGGUUGAAACUCAAAGGAAUUGACGGGGACCCGCACAAGCGGUGGAGCAUGUGGUUUAAUUCGAAGCAACGCGAAGAACCUUACCAAAUCUUGACAUCCUUUGACAACUCUAGAGAUAGAGCCUUCCCCUUCGGGGGACAAAGUGACAGGUGGUGCAUGGUUGUCGUCAGCUCGUGUCGUGAGAUGUUGGGUUAAGUCCCGCAACGAGCGCAACCCUUAAGCUUAGUUGCCAUCAUUAAGUUGGGCACUCUAAGUUGACUGCCGGUGACAAACCGGAGGAAGGUGGGGAUGACGUCAAAUCAUCAUGCCCCUUAUGAUUUGGGCUACGCACGUGCUACAAUGGACAAUACAAAGGGCAGCGAAACCGCGAGGUCAAGCAAAUCCCAUAAAGUUGUUCUCAGUUCGGAUUGUAGUCUGCAACUCGACUACAUGAAGCUGGAAUCGCUAGUAAUCGUAGAUCAGCAUGCUACGGUGAAUACGUUCCCGGGUCU
This 1372-nucleotide ribosomal RNA is filed under the name uncultured bacterium. Its description in RNAcentral is "bacterial SSU rRNA". It matches the Rfam family "Bacterial small subunit ribosomal RNA", at positions 28 to 1381 of the family's 1533-position model. The record is from RNAcentral.